RNAcentral lists this ribosomal RNA (497 nucleotides) under uncultured bacterium. Its description in RNAcentral is "bacterial SSU rRNA". It matches the Rfam family "Bacterial small subunit ribosomal RNA", at positions 28 to 516 of the family's 1533-position model. The record is from RNAcentral.
GAUGAACGCUAGCUACAGGCUUAACACAUGCAAGUCGAGGGGCAGCAUGAGGGUUAGCAAUAACUCUUGAUGGCGACCGGCGCAAGGGUGCGUAACGCGUGAGCAACUUGCCCGUUUCUGGGGAAUAACCGGUGGAAACGCCGACUAAUACCCCAUAGCAUUAAUUUCAGGCAUCUGUUAUCAAUUAAAGAAUUUCGGAAACGGAUAGGCUCGCGUGACAUUAGCUAGAUGGCGGGGUAACGGCCCACCAUGGCUACGAUGUCUAGGGGUUCUGAGAGGAAGGUCCCCCACACUGGAACUGAGACACGGUCCAGACUCCUACGGGAGGCAGCAGUGAGGAAUAUUGGUCAAUGGUCGAGAGACUGAACCAGCCAUGCCGCGUGAAGGUGACGGCCCUAUGGGUCUUAAACUUCUUUUGUAAGGGAGCAAUAAGUCUUACGUGUAGGAUGAUGAGAGUACCUUACGAAUAAGCAUCGGCUAACUCCGUGCCAGCAGCC